GGAGUUGGUAGCUCAGUGGUGGAGUGCAUGCUUUGUGGGUAUCAAGUCCUGGGUUCAAUCACCAGCUUCUCCC
This is a non-coding RNA of Dallia pectoralis (Alaska blackfish), 73 nucleotides long. NCBI's taxonomy places the organism in Eukaryota, Metazoa, Chordata, Actinopteri, Esociformes, Umbridae. The record is from the annotation of a GenBank genome assembly.